AUACGUAGGGUGCAAGCGUUAAUCGGAAUUACUGGGCGUAAAGCGUGCGCAGGCGGUUUUGUAAGACAGAGGUGAAAUCCCCGGGCUCAACCUGGGAACUGCCUUUGUGACGGCAAGGCUAGGGUACGGCAGAGGGGGAGGGAAUUCCGCGUGUAGCAGUGAAAUGCGUAGAUAUGCGGAGGAACACCGAUGGAGUAGGCAAUCCCCCUGGCCUAUACUGACGCUCAUGCACGAAAGCGUGAGGAGCAAACAGUAUUAGAUACCCUGGUAGUCCACGCCCUAAUCAAGAUCAACUGGUUGUUGGGUCUUCAUUGACUCAGUAACGAAGCUAACGCGUGAAGUUGACCGCCUGGGGAGUACGGCCGCAAGGUUGAAACUCAAAGGAAUUGACGGGG
Molecule: ribosomal RNA, 395 nt
Filed under: uncultured bacterium
Lineage: Bacteria
Description: partial 16S ribosomal RNA
Rfam family: Bacterial small subunit ribosomal RNA
Source: RNAcentral